This 65-nucleotide transfer RNA is filed under the name Nippotaenia chaenogobii. RNAcentral's name for it is "tRNA-Cys". Lineage: Eukaryota; Metazoa; Platyhelminthes; Cestoda; Nippotaeniidea; Nippotaeniidae. The record is from RNAcentral.
AAACAUUCAGCUAUGUGGCCUUAGCUUUGCAAAAGCUAGAGAGGGUGAAUUAUACCCAGUGUUUU